RNAcentral lists this long non-coding RNA (238 nucleotides) under Mytilus galloprovincialis (Mediterranean mussel). The record is from RNAcentral. Lineage: Eukaryota; Metazoa; Mollusca; Bivalvia; Mytilida; Mytilidae.
AUUUUUGUUUACAUAAAUAAGGCCGUUAGUUUUCUCGUUUAAAUUGUUUUACAUUGUCUUAUCGGGGCCUUUUAUAGCUGACUAUGCGGUAUGGGCUUUGCUCAUUGUCGAAGGCCGUACGGUGACCUAUAGUUGUUAAUGUCUGUGUCAUUUUGGUCUUUUGUGGAUAGUUGUCUCAUUGACAAUGAUACCACAUCUUCUUUUUUAUAUUAAAUUUGUGUUUUUUCUUUAAAAAAAA